CCCUUAGAUGUCCGGGGCCGCACGCGCGCUACACUGAAGGAAUCAGCGUGGCUUUCUCCCUGACCCGAAAGGGUUGGGAAACCCGUUGAAUCUCCUUCGUGAUAGGGAUUGGGGCUUGAAAUUGUUCCCCAUGAACGAGGAAUUCCCAGUAAGCGCGAGUCAUAAGCUCGCGUUGAUUACGUCCCUGCCCUUUGUACACACUGCCCGUCGCUACUACCGAUUGAACGGUUUAGUGAGGGCCUCGGAUUGGUCUCGGCCCGCUCUUUACCGGGCGGCGCCGUUGGUCGAGAAGACGCUCGAACUUGAUCGUUUAGAGGAAGUAAAAGUCGUAACA
Molecule: ribosomal RNA, 334 nt
Filed under: uncultured eukaryote
Lineage: Eukaryota
Description: partial 18S ribosomal RNA
Rfam family: Eukaryotic small subunit ribosomal RNA
Source: RNAcentral